This 253-nucleotide ribosomal RNA is filed under the name uncultured bacterium. RNAcentral describes it as "partial 16S ribosomal RNA". It matches the Rfam family "Bacterial small subunit ribosomal RNA", at positions 524 to 776 of the family's 1533-position model. The record is from RNAcentral.
GACGGAGGAUGCAAGCGUUAUCCGGAAUGAUUGGGCGUAAAGCGUCCGCAGGUGGCUGUGUAAGUCUGCUGUUAAAUAGUGAGGCUCAACCUCAUAAAGGCAGUGGAAACUACACGGCUAGAGUGCGUUCGGGGCAGAGGGAAUUCCUGGUGUAGCGGUGAAAUGCGUAGAGAUCAGGAAGAACACCGGUGGCGAAAGCGCUCUGCUAGGCCGCAACUGACACUGAGGGACGAAAGCUAGGGGAGCGAAUGGG